Molecule: ribosomal RNA, 1463 nt
Filed under: uncultured bacterium
Lineage: Bacteria
Description: bacterial SSU rRNA
Rfam family: Bacterial small subunit ribosomal RNA
Source: RNAcentral
GAUUGAACGCUGGCGGCAGGCCUAACACAUGCAAGUCGAGCGGAUGAAGGGAGCUUGCUCCUGGAUUCAGCGGCGGACGGGUGAGUAAUGCCUAGGAAUCUGCCUGGUAGUGGGGGAUAACGUCCGGAAACGGGCGCUAAUACCGCAUACGUCCUGAGGGAGAAAGUGGGGGAUCUUCGGACCUCACGCUAUCAGAUGAGCCUAGGUCGGAUUAGCUAGUUGGUGGGGUAAAGGCCUACCAAGGCGACGAUCCGUAACUGGUCUGAGAGGAUGAUCAGUCACACUGGAACUGAGACACGGUCCAGACUCCUACGGGAGGCAGCAGUGGGGAAUAUUGGACAAUGGGCGAAAGCCUGAUCCAGCCAUGCCGCGUGUGUGAAGAAGGUCUUCGGAUUGUAAAGCACUUUAAGUUGGGAGGAAGGGCAGUAAGUUAAUACCUUGCUGUUUUGACGUUACCAACAGAAUAAGCACCGGCUAACUUCGUGCCAGCAGCCGCGGUAAUACGAAGGGUGCAAGCGUUAAUCGGAAUUACUGGGCGUAAAGCGCGCGUAGGUGGUUCAGCAAGUUGGAUGUGAAAUCCCCGGGCUCAACCUGGGAACUGCAUCCAAAACUACUGAGCUAGAGUACGGUAGAGGGUGGUGGAAUUUCCUGUGUAGCGGUGAAAUGCGUAGAUAUAGGAAGGAACACCAGUGGCGAAGGCGACCACCUGGACUGAUACUGACACUGAGGUGCGAAAGCGUGNGGAGCAAACAGGAUUAGAUACCCUGGUAGUCCACGCCGUAAACGAUGUCGACUAGCCGUUGGGAUCCUUGAGAUCUUAGUGGCGCAGCUAACGCGAUAAGUCGACCGCCUGGGGAGUACGGCCGCAAGGUUAAAACUCAAAUGAAUUGACGGGGGGCCCGCACAAGCGGGUGGAGCAUGUGGUUUAAUUCGAAGCAACGGCGAAGAACCUUACCUGGCCUUGACAUGCUGAGAACUUUCCAGAGAUGGAUUGGUGCCUUCGGGAACUCAGACACAGGUGCUGCAUGGCUGUCGUCAGCUCGUGUCGUGAGAUGUUGGGUUAAGUCCCGUAACGAGCGCAACCCUUGUCCUUAGUUACCAGCACCUCGGGUGGGCACUCUAAGGAGACUGCCGGUGACAAACCGGAGGAAGGUGGGGAUGACGUCAAGUCAUCAUGGCCCUUACGGCCAGGGCUACACACGUGCUACAAUGGUCGGUACAAAGGGUUGCCAAGCCGCGAGGUGGAGCUAAUCCCAUAAAACCGAUCGUAGUCCGGAUCGCAGUCUGCAACUCGACUGCGUGAAGUCGGAAUCGCUAGUAAUCGUGAAUCAGAAUGUCACGGUGAAUACGUUCCCGGGCCUUGUACACACCGCCCGUCACACCAUGGGAGUGGGUUGCUCCAGAAGUAGCUAGUCUAACCGCAAGGGGGACGGUUACCACGGAGUGAUUCAUGACUGGGGUGA